GUCUGACUGAGAAGUUCAAGGAGAAUGACAUGGCUUAUGUGUUGACUGAGAAGAUCUUUUCAAUUGUUGACAUGAUUUUGGAGGUUUGGUUCAAUUAGAAAGAUCGAUGCCAUGUGACCAGCAUAGAAGAUAUUUUCUUAUAACUACCCCUUCCUAUCACUGUAUCAUCAUUCCUGGUUGUGCGUUAAUGAAAAGUUACCUUCGGAGAAAAUGAUAAUUAUCUAUGCUAGCUAACUUUGUUUACCCAGUUUGCAUUAUAGUGUUCCAUCUUACCUAAUGUUGUUACUAUUGCAGCUUGCAAGGCCAGUUUAGUUGACUGCAGCCUAGAUCAAUGUGCAUCGGUCUGGAAAGAAGAACAACCCUUUAGAUUCUCGAUAUGGUCAUUGUGAAUAGCGAGGUCGAUAGCUAUAUAUUGUGAGUUCUAAUUACUUGAUCCUUCCUAUUACCAUUGAAUUGUUUAUUGCAUGGCUAUUAGCUGAGUAGUGAACCAGGAGUUGAAUCAUUGUUAUAAGAACUAAAUAAUCCGGAUUGUGGCACGUCCAUACUAAGAUGUGUAGGGCAAAAGAUUGGCCUCGCCUAGGUUAUUGUAGUAGUUGGGUUGUGAACACCUCAACUAUCGCAACAUCAUCUAUACUUGACAUUUAGUUGGGUUGUUAUGCUGCAUUGGAUGGUUCAGUUACCAACGAAUUUGAUAAUAUUUAUUUUUUAUUUCUUAUAUUCUAUAAAAGUGUCUUCUGAUGCUCUUAAGCUACACAAUCCCAUUAUUGUCAACUUGUCAUAUCAUAAUACAACAAACUACCUUUUUUUACCAUAUUACUAUGCUCAUGUAUGUUUGUUGUCGUCACUACCCCCUCUGAUCGAGAUCGUCGUCGUCCCAUCUCUAUGUGUUAUGAAUAUGCUCCUUUAUUUUGCAAGAAGAAACUUUAUUAAGAUUUGUGUGAUCAAGUUUAUGUGUUGCGGGCUAUGCAGUGUCCCUGGCAAGAGGACCGAGUGUGGGCGGGUGGGCAUCGGCAAGACGGGUUGUCGGUGUGGUGUUGAAGUUGAUCAAUAGUGGUGCACCUACGCCAUGUAUGGAUCAAUACUUAGUUUCCGUCGAGGCCCAACCCAUCCAGGUUCUUAUUGAUCCUUUGCCUCUCGGCUUCUCUUUUAUUGAAACUGCAUAACUAUUCCAUGCCUAAUGCUAUUCCUGCUUGUGAGAGGAGCGACGUGUGUGGAAAAGGCGCACU
RNAcentral lists this long non-coding RNA (1226 nucleotides) under Triticum aestivum (bread wheat). RNAcentral describes it as "long non-coding RNA (TAES_LNC011234)". The record is from RNAcentral. Lineage: Eukaryota; Viridiplantae; Streptophyta; Magnoliopsida; Poales; Poaceae.